CACGUAGGCGGAUCAGUCAGUCAGAGGUGAAAUCCCGGAGCUCAACUUCGGAACUGCCUUUGAUACUGCUGAUCUGGAGUUCAUGAGAGGUGUGUGGAAUUCCGAGUGUAGAGGUGAAAUUCGUAGAUAUUCGGAGGAACACCAGAGGCGAAGGCGACACACUGGCAUGAUACUGACGCUGAGGUGCGAAAGCGUGGGGAGCAAACA
RNAcentral lists this ribosomal RNA (207 nucleotides) under uncultured bacterium. RNAcentral describes it as "partial 16S ribosomal RNA". It matches the Rfam family "Bacterial small subunit ribosomal RNA", at positions 568 to 774 of the family's 1533-position model. The record is from RNAcentral.